CAAAAGAGUGAAGUUCUUCACACAUAAAUACAAACAAGGAUUACAUAAAAGACUCAUCACCAUUUCCAGAACACAUUGGAACCACACUUGAAUUUGUCUUUCCCUUUGCACUCCAACUCUAGAUCUUCCGAUAGGAAUGGCACUUUCUGCAUUACGUAUCAAGCAAUCAAAACCAUAUAUACCCAAGAUCUUUAUGUUAGAUCUUGUGAUUCAUGCAAAUUAAACUCUUAACAAUCUACAUCUAUAACACUGUUAAUCUGUUAUGUUAUUGAAUUCGUUCUUAAUUAAGUAAUUAGAGUUCAAACCUUUGUCUUUGCAAGAUCUUGGCAGCCUGUGAAGUUGUAGGGGAAGGUGCAUGUUCCAAACUGAACUGUGUAUGCUCUUGCAAAGUUUGCACCACUUGUUGCCAGCCUCUUUUGGUCAUUCAAUU
RNAcentral lists this long non-coding RNA (430 nucleotides) under Lactuca sativa (garden lettuce). RNAcentral describes it as "long non-coding RNA (LSAT_LNC000051)". Lineage: Eukaryota; Viridiplantae; Streptophyta; Magnoliopsida; Asterales; Asteraceae. The record is from RNAcentral.